UCCAAAUCUUGCUUUUUCUGGUGUGUUUGGA
Molecule: non-coding RNA, 31 nt
Filed under: Rattus norvegicus (Norway rat)
Lineage: Eukaryota; Metazoa; Chordata; Mammalia; Rodentia; Muridae
Source: RNAcentral